This 292-nucleotide ribosomal RNA is filed under the name uncultured bacterium. RNAcentral's name for it is "partial 16S ribosomal RNA". It matches the Rfam family "Bacterial small subunit ribosomal RNA", at positions 505 to 796 of the family's 1533-position model. The record is from RNAcentral.
GUGUCAGCCGCCGCGGUAAAACGUAGGUGGCGAGCGUUAUCCGGAUUUACUGGGCGUAAAGGGUGUGCAGGCGGGACCUCAAGUGGUGCAUGAAAGCUCUCGGCUUAACCGAGAAAUGGUGUGCCAGACUGAGGACCUAGAGGGUGGGAGAGGGACGUGGAAUUCCGGGUGUAGUGGUAAAAUGCGUAGAGAUCCGGAGGAACACCAGAGGCGAAGGCGGCGUCCUGGCCCACAUCUGACGCUCAUACACGACAGCAUGGGGAGCGAACGGGAUUAGAUACCCCUGUAGUCC